Molecule: transfer RNA, 73 nt
Organism: Ovis aries (sheep)
Lineage: Eukaryota; Metazoa; Chordata; Mammalia; Artiodactyla; Bovidae
Rfam family: tRNA
About the family: Transfer RNA (tRNA) molecules are approximately 80 nucleotides in length. Their secondary structure includes four short double-helical elements and three loops (D, anti-codon, and T loops).
Source: Rfam
UCCCUGACGGUCCAGUGGUCAGGACUCUGAGCUUCCACUGCAGGGGGUGCUGGUUUGAUCCCUGUUUGGGGAA